AACGCGAAGAACCUUACCAGGGCUAGAAUGCCUCUGACAACCCUAGAGAUAGGGCUUCUUAGGGAAACCUAGGCAGAGUGCAAGGUGCUGCAUGGCUGUCGUCAGCUCGUGUCGUGAGAUGUUGGGUUAAGUCCCGCAACGAGCGCAACCCUUAUCUUUAGUUGCUAGCGGUUCGGCCGAGCACUCUAGAGAGACUGCCGUUGACAAAACGGAGGAAGGUGGGGAUGACGUCAAGUCCUCAUGGCCUUUAUGUCCUGGGCUACACACGUGCUACAAUGGCCGGUACAAAGCGCUGCAAACUCGCGAGAGGGAGCCAAUCGCAAAAAGCCGGUCUCAGUUCGGAUUGGAGUCUGCAACUCGACUCCAUGAGGCUGGAAUCGCUAGUAAUCGCAGAUCAGCACGCUGCGGUGAAUACGUUCCCGGGUCUUGUACACACCG
This 438-nucleotide ribosomal RNA is filed under the name uncultured bacterium. Its description in RNAcentral is "bacterial SSU rRNA". It matches the Rfam family "Bacterial small subunit ribosomal RNA", at positions 958 to 1392 of the family's 1533-position model. The record is from RNAcentral.